AAAAAAUCAUGAAUUUUACAGAAGUGUACCUCUUUCCCCAAAAAAGUUUCCUGAAUUUUAGAAUAUUAAAAAUUUGGUGAAAGUUCUAAAAUUUGAAAAAUGUUUGCGCAUAUAAAAUAUAGGACACAGAGAGAGGGCUGCGUGCAUGGGCUGGCCUAUCCAAACGAACUUCAACCUACAGGCGUCAACUGGGAGGUCUCCUGCUAUACAUCGCUUGCAUCGAACACAAAGGUCGCCUGCAGCGCUCAGCGCUCGCGUCCUCUCUUUCUCCAGGCAUGCGAACUACGUCGACGUAUGCACCUGUCACCUGCCUUCCCUAGUUGUGCCACGAUUUCCUGAUGUUCAACAAACGCUCCAGAAAAGCCAUGGAAUGUGUAAUAUUUUCCAUUAUAUUUUUGCCAUGUAUUCAUUUCAAUUGGUUUGUAAAUGAAAUUAAAAGUAUCCACGUGUUAUACCACAUUUUUUGAGCCAA
Molecule: long non-coding RNA, 472 nt
Filed under: Hordeum vulgare
Lineage: Eukaryota; Viridiplantae; Streptophyta; Magnoliopsida; Poales; Poaceae
Description: long non-coding RNA (HVUL_LNC020319)
Source: RNAcentral